This 253-nucleotide ribosomal RNA is filed under the name uncultured bacterium. RNAcentral's name for it is "partial 16S ribosomal RNA". It matches the Rfam family "Bacterial small subunit ribosomal RNA", at positions 524 to 776 of the family's 1533-position model. The record is from RNAcentral.
UACAGAGGGGGCAAGCGUUGUUCGGAAUUACUGGGCGUAAAGGGCGCGUAGGCGGCCUUCUAAGUCGAACGUGAAAUCCCCGGGCUCAACCCGGGAACUGCGUCCGAUACUGGAAGGCUUGAAUCCGGGAGAGGGAUGCGGAAUUCCAGGUGUAGCGGUGAAAUGCGUAGAUAUCGGGAGGAACACCGGUGGCGAAGGCGGCGACCUGGGUAGAUACUGACGCUGAGGAGCGAAAGCCAGGGGAGCAAACGGG